RNAcentral lists this ribosomal RNA (438 nucleotides) under uncultured Alphaproteobacteria bacterium. RNAcentral's name for it is "bacterial SSU rRNA". It matches the Rfam family "Bacterial small subunit ribosomal RNA", at positions 29 to 505 of the family's 1533-position model. Lineage: Bacteria; Pseudomonadati; Pseudomonadota; Alphaproteobacteria. The record is from RNAcentral.
AACGAACGCUGGCGGCAGGCUUAACACAUGCAAGUCGAACGCGAAAACCUUCGGGUGAGUAGAGUGGCGCACGGGUGAGUAACGCGUGGGAAUGUACCCUUUAGUACGGAAUAACCUCGGGAAACUGUGGAUAAUACCGUAUACGCCCUUCGGGGGAAAGAUUUAUCGCUAAAGGAUCAGCCCGCGUGACAUUAGGUUGUUGGUGGGGUAAUGGCCUACCAAGCCGACGAUGUCUAGCUGGUCUGAGAGGAUGAUCAGCCACACUGGUACUGAGACACGGACCAGACUCCUACGGGAGGCAGCAGUGGGGAAUAUUGGACAAUGGGGGAAACCCUGAUCCAGCCAUGCCGCGUGAAUGAUGAAGGCCCUAGGGUUGUAAAGUUCUUUAGCAGGUGAAGAUAAUGACGGUAACCUGAGAAUAAGCUCCGGCUAACUUCG